Molecule: non-coding RNA, 24 nt
Filed under: Arabidopsis thaliana (thale cress)
Lineage: Eukaryota; Viridiplantae; Streptophyta; Magnoliopsida; Brassicales; Brassicaceae
Source: RNAcentral
AGGCACUUCUCACGUACAAGGCAC